AACGAACGCUGGCGGCAUGCCUAACACAUGCAAGUCGAACGAGACCUUCGGGUCUAGUGGCGCACGGGUGCGUAACGCGUGCGAACCUGCCCUUAGGUUCGGAAUAACUCCCCGAAAGGGGUGCUAAUACCGGAUAAUGUCUUCGGACCAAAGAUUUAUCGCCUUUGGAUGGGCCCGCGUUGGAUUAGCUAGUUGGUAGGGUAAAAGCCUACCAAGGCGACGAUCCAUAGCUGGUCUGAGAGGAUGAUCAGCCACACUGGGACUGAGACACGGCCCAGUCUCCUACGGGAGGCAGCAGUGGGGAAUAUUGGACAAUGGGCGAAAGCCUGAUCCAGCAAUGCCGCGUGAGUGAUGAAGGCCUUAGGGUUGUAAAGCUCUUUUACCCGGGAUGAUAAUGACAGUACCGGGAGAAUAAGCUCCGGCUAACUCCGUG
Molecule: ribosomal RNA, 433 nt
Filed under: uncultured bacterium
Lineage: Bacteria
Description: partial 16S ribosomal RNA
Rfam family: Bacterial small subunit ribosomal RNA
Source: RNAcentral